CAGAGCGUUCGCAGGUGGAGCACAUGGGAACGGGCCACGCGGCCGACCCGGCCUGCUCGCGCUCUUUAGGCUAAGUGCACCGAAUUCGGGAGAAGGAGCCAUUAAUGUCAUCCCGGAUUUACAGAGUGAAGGAGAGGGGUGCCCAUCCACUUCGAGGACGCGCCGACGCCGCCAGCUCCCUGGUGCCCCGCGGGCCUGGCCCCUCCGGGCCCGCCCGGGUGACCUUGGGCGAGUCGCCCUCACCUCUCCGGGCCGUACUGGGCUCCUCCCCGCGGCCCCGGACGGCCAGGACACUGCCCGGAGUUCGGUUCGACGCCCGGCCCCGAAGGCAGGCCCUUAACCCACGAGGACAAGAGUGUCGACGAAGUGGGAACGGAAUUACCAACCCCCAACCUGGCCAGGCCCCCGAAACCGAAUAUUCAUGGGCAGGAAAUGUUUUUUUUCUAAAGAAUUGCUUAGGGCGGAGUUGAACCAACGUGAUUGGGACUCAGAUACCUGAGAUUUUAUCCUGGCCCUGGCCCUGCCCCUUACCAACUCUGCAGCAGUCAUUUCCUCAGUGGACCUCAGUUUCUCUAUUGUAAAACGAACCAAUGGUAAAUGACAGUGAUUUCAAACUUCAAUGCACAUUCAAUAAAUAUUUACUAACCUCGUACUGUGAGAGCCUGAAGGGUUCUAGGAAAGAGUUUGGCAAUCAGGCGAACAAGGUCUCUAUCCUGGAAUUUACACUCCGAGGUGGAGAAAGACAAUAAACAGUGAUAAAUGCUUGUUUCCUUUCUAUGAAGACAAUAACUACUACAGUGGUUGGUUAAACUAGAUCAGCUACUUCAGUAUGGAUGAUGAGGGAAAACCUUGAAUGCAGAUUCCAAAUGUUUUCGAAUGGAAUAUGUCUGGGAUCGGACCUUGAAACCCGCAAGUCUAACAAACUUCCUUGGAUGCUUACCCAUUUGGUGGUCCCACACUUCACUUGGAGAAUUCCUGGUUCUGACUGGCUGUGAUCCCACCACCUCAAGACAUAACAGCCUGGAAUGUUGGCCAUCUCCAAGGCAAGGAUUAGAAUACAUGACCUGCUGGAUAUGGGAAAAGGCUUAUUGAAAAGCCUCUUGGAAUUGCCCCAGUGCUGACAACUUCCUGAAGACAGAAGAGGCCACAUGAGGGACAGAUAGCCUAGAGACCUGAUUGAUAAGCUGCAGACCAUCUCUGGCUUUGCUGAAUGACUUUGGGCAGCCUCUUUGCCUUCCCGGGCUUCCAUUUCUCUCUCCACAAAAUGGGAAGCAUAAUACCUGCCUCUCUGGCUUAUCAAGUUGAAGAAAGGAGGGAGCAGGUAAAAGCAUAACCGUAUUGGAAGUAUUUCAAAUGAUUGUCCACAGAGGUUGAUUAUCUAGACAUCGUGUGAUCCAACCACGCUAUGGAAAACUAAAGCAUGGACUCCCUUGGAAAUGUUUCCAAAAUUCACUGCUGAUGUUCCUGUCUUCUCAUCCGAGUCCAGGCCCGCAGCUGGCUGUAGUAAUCUGAAGGGAACUAACUGGGGAGCUACCUUCUUCCAAGGUCAUGUGGCUGCUAGCAAGAUUUACUCUCAAGGAUUGUUGGACUGAUAUCUUCCCAGCUGUUGGCCAGAGGCCACCCUCAGUUCCUCAGUUCCACGCAUCAAUGUCUCCUGCGUGGGAGUUUGCUUCAUCAAAGUGUGCAAGCCGGGCGUGAAAGCAAGAGCAGGGUGGAAGUCACGGUCUUUUGUAGCCUGAUCGUGGAAGUGAUUAUUGCCGUAUUCUAUUUGUUAGAAGUGACUCACUGGGCCCAGCCCAUCCUGCACAAAAGGAGAGUACACAGGGGCUUGAAUACCAGGAAGAGGGGAUCACAGGGGGCCAUUCUAGAACCUUUCUGCCUGCCACACCAGUCGCCAACUUUUAAUUUUGCCAGAGAAGAACACUUAGAAAAUCAACUCCCACCUCUGGUUACCAUAACUUCAUAAAUGAAAUAGACUUUUUUUACAAUUUGUCUAGAUACAAAGAGAUAAUUUCAUAAUAAGGGGUAGUCCCUUGUGGGUGAAUAAAUGUAGCCUCGUGCAAAAUGCC
Long non-coding RNA from Lynx canadensis (Canada lynx), 2069 nucleotides. RefSeq lists it as uncharacterized. The transcript has 4 exons. The record is from RefSeq and is a predicted model, not a curated record. NCBI's taxonomy places the organism in Eukaryota, Metazoa, Chordata, Mammalia, Carnivora, Felidae.